UAAAAUAACUGAUAUUCCAUCUCAGUUUAGCUUGGACUGAGUAAAAGAUUACGAGAAUUCAUAAGGUGCCGCCGGCGUGGUAUGACCCCUCUAAAUUUUAUUUUUACAUUGAAAAACCAGUAAAACAGAAAGAGAGGUAUCACCAUGAGAACGCUGUCCAAAGAUUCACAACCAACCUUAAUAACAGAAGAAAGUGAGUCUAGAGAGACAUCUAUGCAGCCUCCUCUUUAUAAUGGGGCAGCACGGUCAUGGCUUGAGAGCUAGAGCCAAUCCAACUUUUGCAGUCUUCUCGAUCGCCUUGGUGUCUACCUCUCCAGAAACGGUGAAGAAAGACUUUGGCCGCCACUGAUGCUGAACAAGAGCGCUUGCUUUGCCAGCAUUGUUCACCCGUGCCUUCAAUGUCGUCAAU
RNAcentral lists this long non-coding RNA (409 nucleotides) under Populus trichocarpa (black cottonwood). RNAcentral's name for it is "long non-coding RNA (PTRI_LNC003829)". The record is from RNAcentral. Lineage: Eukaryota; Viridiplantae; Streptophyta; Magnoliopsida; Malpighiales; Salicaceae.